RNAcentral lists this ribosomal RNA (442 nucleotides) under Agrypnia deflata. RNAcentral describes it as "partial 16S ribosomal RNA". The record is from RNAcentral. Lineage: Eukaryota; Metazoa; Arthropoda; Insecta; Trichoptera; Phryganeidae.
GUCUUUUUGAUUUAUAAUUUAAAGUCUAAUCUGCCCACUGAAAUAAAUUUUAAAGGGCUGCGGUAAUUUAACCGUACAAAGGUAGCAUAAUAAAUAGUUUUUUAAUUGAAGACUGGAAUGAAUGAUUGGACGAAAUAUAAGCUAUUUUAUUUAAAUAAAAAUAGAAUUUAAUUUUUAAGUUAAAAAGCUAAAAUAAUUUUAAAAGACGAGAAGACCCUAUAAAUCUUUAUAAUGAUUGAUUUAAUUUUAAUUAUUUAAUAUUUAUAAAUUUAUAUUAAAAAUUAUUUUAUUGGGGUGAUAUAAAAAUUUAAAUAACUUUUUAUUUAAUUUUAUUAUUAUGAAAAGAAAUGGAAUGAUCUAUAGAUUAUAAUUAUAAGAUUAAGAUACUUUAGGGAUAACAGCGUAAUUUUAAUUUUAAGUUCUUAUUAAAAUUAAAGAUUGC